AAAUUGAAGAGUUUGAUCAUGGCUCAGAUUGAACGCUGGCGGCAGGCCUAACACAUGCAAGUCGAACGGUAACAGGAAUCAGCUUGCUGAUUUGCUGACGAGUGGCGGACGGGUGAGUAAUGUCUGGGAAACUGCCUGAUGGAGGGGGAUAACUACUGGAAACGGUAGCUAAUACCGCAUAAUGUCGCAAGAC
Molecule: ribosomal RNA, 193 nt
Filed under: Escherichia fergusonii
Lineage: Bacteria; Pseudomonadati; Pseudomonadota; Gammaproteobacteria; Enterobacterales; Enterobacteriaceae
Description: partial 16S ribosomal RNA
Rfam family: Bacterial small subunit ribosomal RNA
Source: RNAcentral